Long non-coding RNA from Rhopalosiphum padi (bird cherry-oat aphid), 114 nucleotides. RefSeq lists it as uncharacterized. The transcript is spliced from 4 exons. NCBI's taxonomy places the organism in Eukaryota, Metazoa, Arthropoda, Insecta, Hemiptera, Aphididae. The record is from RefSeq and is a predicted model, not a curated record.
GCCGAUUUAAAAUAUUUUCUAUUACAUAUGGCUAGAUUUACAAAUAAUCCUAAAGGAGAUUACUACAUGCAAUAUAUAAAUAAUCCUGUUGAUGAACCUAACCCCGAUUAUUUA